This 253-nucleotide ribosomal RNA is filed under the name uncultured bacterium. Its description in RNAcentral is "partial 16S ribosomal RNA". It matches the Rfam family "Bacterial small subunit ribosomal RNA", at positions 524 to 776 of the family's 1533-position model. The record is from RNAcentral.
UACGGGGGGGGCGAGCGUUGUUCGGAAUUACUGGGCGUAAAGGGUUUGUAGGUGGCCUGCUAAGUCAGACGUGAAAUCCCUCAGCUUAACUGGGGAACUGCGUCUGAUACUGGCGGGCUUGAGGACAGGAGAGGAACGCGGAAUUCCCGGUGUAGCGGUGAAAUGCGCAGAUAUCGGGAGGAACACCAAUGGCGAAGGCAGCUCGCUGGGACGGUACUGACGCUGAGACGCGAAAGCGUGGGGAGCAAACAGG